GGGCACUUCGGUGCUAGUGGCAGACGGGUGAGUAACACGUGGGAACGUACCUUUCGGUUCGGAAUAAUACAGGGAAACUUGUACUAAUACCGGAUACGCCCUUUGGGGGAAAGAUUUAUCGCCGAUUGAUCGGCCCGCGUCUGAUUAGCUAGUUGGUGAGGUAAUGGCUCACCAAGGCGACGAUCAGUAGCUGGUCUGAGAGGAUGAUCAGCCACACUGGGACUGAGACACGGCCCAGACUCCUACGGGAGGCAGCAGUGGGGAAUAUUGGACAAUGGGCGCAAGCCUGAUCCAGCCAUGCCGCGUGUGUGAUGAAGGCCUUAGGGUUGUAAAGCACUUUUGUCCGGGAAGAUAAUGACUGUACCGGAAGAAUAAGCCCCGGCUAACUUCGUGCCAGCAGCCGCGGUAAUACGAAGGGGGCUAGCGUUGCUCGGAAUCACUGGGCGUAAAGGGCGCGUAGGCGGACUCUUAAGUCGGGGGUGAAAGCCCAGGGCUCAACCCUGGAAUUGCCUUCGAUACUGAGAGUCUUGAGUUC
Molecule: ribosomal RNA, 535 nt
Filed under: Afipia sp. Sand_R2A_F3
Lineage: Bacteria; Pseudomonadati; Pseudomonadota; Alphaproteobacteria; Hyphomicrobiales; Nitrobacteraceae
Description: bacterial SSU rRNA
Rfam family: Bacterial small subunit ribosomal RNA
Source: RNAcentral